GAAUGUGUAAUGAUGGUUCGUCACCUCUGCUAAUGUGUGAAUGACAUGAGGAAGCUUGUACAAGAAUGAAGCAUUCACACCAGAUCUCUCCGGAGCAACAGUGUAGAUGAAUCCAUUUCCUCUACGGGAUCUCAAUCCAGGGCUGAGUUUCCCAUGCCCUCUAGUGCAGUUUCAUUGGGAGAUGGAGAGGGUUUAAGCAGACUAAACUGACCUAUUUGCACUUGGCCACAUCAUGAUAUAUUGAUUAUAAAAAGUAACCAGGUGUAAAUGCCCUCUGAAAUACAUUCAGGAUGGAUUGCAAUCUACUGGAAGAGGUUUGAGAUUCAUUCCAGCCAAGACUGUGCAAGUGAAAAAGCAUCUGAUUAAGUCGUAUAUGCCAUUUUUACAUAUUUUUGAAGUGUAAAUAGAACAGUUUUUACAAAUCAGAUAACAAAACAGAUCUGAGAAAAUGCAUUCAAGUGUCAAUAGGCCCAGUGACUGGUGAAGGCCAGCAAACUUCACGCCAAACAAGAUGCUUUAAAAAAUAGAUAUGGUGAGUUUUACAUUUAAUGACAACUUUAAAAUUAAUUUCUGUAAUUAAUUUUGAUUUCAAGCCCUUGUGUUUAACAGUAUGAACUGAAUGAAGUGAUUUAUCAUGAGCAGUCCUGCUAAUUGCCUAGACAGGGUACAACUAUUUGAGUCCACCUGUGUUCAGUUGCAUCAUUAAUUCCAGUUUGAGAGUUUUGCUCGGUUGAGCUUUUAUAACUGAAAUAGAAGCACACAUUAAUCCUGCUGUCUGUAGAGCUGAAUUUGUAAGAAAAAAAAAAAAAAGAGAAAGAAAGCUUGCAGAA
Long non-coding RNA from Carassius gibelio (silver crucian carp), 830 nucleotides. RefSeq lists it as uncharacterized. The record is from RefSeq and is a predicted model, not a curated record. Lineage: Eukaryota; Metazoa; Chordata; Actinopteri; Cypriniformes; Cyprinidae. The transcript has 3 exons.